UUCUGGUUGAUCCUGCCAGAGGUCACUGCUAUCGGGGUUCGAUUAAGCCAUGCGAGUCGAGAGGGUUCGGCCCUCGGCGUACUGCUCAGUAACACGUGGAUAACCUGCCCUAGGGAAGGGGAUAACCCCGGGAAACUGGGGAUAAUACCCUAUAGAUUACAGAUGCUGGAAUGCCCUGUAAUCCAAAGUUCCGACGCCCUAGGAUGGAUCUGCGGCCGAUUAGGUUGUUGUUGGGGUAAUGGCCCAACAAGCCCGUAAUCGGUACGGGUUGUGGGAGCAAGAGCCCGGAGUUGGAUUCUGAGACACGAAUCCAGGCCCUACGGGGCGCAGCAGGCGCGAAAACUUUACAAUGCGGGCAACCGUGAUAAGGGAACCUCGAGUGCCUGUAAAUGCAGGCUGUUCAGGUGCCUAAAACACACCUGAAGAAAGGGCCGGGCAAGACCGGUGCCAGCCGCCGCGGUAAUACCGGCGGCUCGAGUGGUGGCCACUUUUAUUGGGCUUAAAGCGUUCGUAGCUGGGUUGUUAAGUCUCUUGGGAAAUCCGGCGGCUCAACCGUCGGGCGUCUAAGAGAUACUGGCAGUCUUGGAACCGGGAGAGGUGAGGGGUACUUCGGGGGUAGGAGUGAAAUCCUGUAAUCCUCGAGGGACCACCUGUGGCGAAGGCGCCUCACCAGAACGGCUUCGACAGUGAGGGACGAAAGCUGGGGGAGCAAACCGGAUUAGAUACCCGGGUAGUCCCAGCCGUAAACGAUGUGCGUUAGGUGUAUCGACGACCACGAGUCGUCGAGGUGCCGAAGGGAAACCGUGAAACGUACCGCCUGGGAAGUACGGUCGCAAGGCUGAAACUUAAAGGAAUUGGCGGGGGAGCACCACAACAGGUGGAGCCUGCGGUUUAAUUGGACUCAACGCCGGGAAUCUCACCGGAUAAGACAGCAGAAUGAUUGCCGGGCUGAAGACUCUGCAUGACUAGCUGAGAGGAGGUGCAUGGCCGUCGUCAGUUCGUACUGUGAAGCAUCCUGUUAAGUCAGGCAACGAGCAAGACC
Molecule: ribosomal RNA, 1042 nt
Filed under: uncultured Methanoculleus sp.
Lineage: Archaea; Methanobacteriati; Methanobacteriota; Methanomicrobia; Methanomicrobiales; Methanomicrobiaceae
Description: bacterial SSU rRNA
Rfam family: Archaeal small subunit ribosomal RNA
Source: RNAcentral